Molecule: ribosomal RNA, 467 nt
Filed under: uncultured bacterium
Lineage: Bacteria
Description: partial 16S ribosomal RNA
Rfam family: Bacterial small subunit ribosomal RNA
Source: RNAcentral
GAUGAACGCUGACAGAAUGCUUAACACAUGCAAGUCAACUUGAAUUUGGGUUUUUAACUUCGGUUUGGGUGGCGGACGGGUGAGUAACGCGUAAAGAACUUGCCUCACAGCUAGGGACAACAUUUGGAAACGAAUGCUAAUACCUAAUAUUAUGAUAAUAGGGCAUCCUAUAAUUAUGAAAGCUAUAAGCGCUGUGAGAGAGCUUUGCGUCCCAUUAGCUAGUUGGAGAGGUAACGGCUCACCAAGGCGAUGAUGGGUAGCCGGCCUGAGAGGGUGAUCGGCCACAAGGGGACUGAGACACGGCCCUUACUCCUACGGGAGGCAGCAGUGGGGAAUAUUGGACAAUGGACCGGGAGUCUGAUCCAGCAAUUCUGUGUGCACGAUGAAGUUUUUCGGAAUGUAAAGUGCUUUCAGUUGGGAAGAAACAAAUGACGGUACCAACAGAAGAAGUGACGGCUAAAUACGUG